RNAcentral lists this ribosomal RNA (542 nucleotides) under Marmota monax (woodchuck). Its description in RNAcentral is "partial 16S ribosomal RNA". It matches the Rfam family "Bacterial large subunit ribosomal RNA", at positions 1826 to 2597 of the family's 2925-position model. Lineage: Eukaryota; Metazoa; Chordata; Mammalia; Rodentia; Sciuridae. The record is from RNAcentral.
CACUCUAGCAUAAAUAGUAUUAGAGGCACUGCCUGCCCAGUGACAUACGUUCAACGGCCGCGGUAUCCUGACCGUGCAAAGGUAGCAUAAUCACUUGUUCUUUAAAUAAGGACUAGUAUGAAUGGCUUAACGAGGGUUUAACUGUCUCUUACUUUUGAUCAGUGAAAUUGACCUUCCCGUGAAGAGGCGGGAAUUUCCUAAUAAGACGAGAAGACCCUAUGGAGCUUCAAUUUAAUAGUCUCACAACCCUAAUAAAAUCUUAGGAGUCAAAAUUAUUGUUUACAGACUAGAAAUUUUGGUUGGGGUGACCUCGGAGUACAAAUCAACCUCCGAAUGAUAAUAAUCUAGACACACAUGUCCAAAUUAUAAUUCAUUAAUUGACCCAAAUAUUGAUCAACGGAACAAGUUACCCUAGGGAUAACAGCGCAAUCCUACUCAAGAGUUCAUAUCGACAGUUAGGGUUUACGACCUCGAUGUUGGAUCAGGACAUCCAAAUGGUGUAACCGCUAUUAAUGGUUCGUUUGUUCAACGAUUAAAGUCCU